GCAGAGAUGGCGGAACCUGGUUAACGCGCCAGCCUUGAGAGCUGGUGGGCGCAAGCCCGUGUGGGUUCAAAUCCCACUCUCUGCG
Molecule: transfer RNA, 85 nt
Filed under: Candidatus Iainarchaeum sp.
Lineage: Archaea; Nanobdellati; Candidatus Iainarchaeota; Candidatus Iainarchaeia; Candidatus Iainarchaeales; Candidatus Iainarchaeaceae
Description: tRNA-Ser
Rfam family: tRNA
About the family: Transfer RNA (tRNA) molecules are approximately 80 nucleotides in length.
Source: RNAcentral